This 84-nucleotide transfer RNA is filed under the name Methanobacteriota archaeon. RNAcentral's name for it is "Euryarchaeota archaeon (soil metagenome) tRNA-Leu". It matches the Rfam family "tRNA". Rfam says of the family: Transfer RNA (tRNA) molecules are approximately 80 nucleotides in length. Lineage: Archaea; Methanobacteriati; Methanobacteriota. The record is from RNAcentral.
GCAGGAGUCGCAUAGUCUGGCCAAUUGCGCAAGGUUCAGGUCCUUGUCCUUAGUGGUUCGCAGGUUCAAAUCCUGCCUCCUGCA